Molecule: long non-coding RNA, 441 nt
Organism: Mus musculus (house mouse)
Lineage: Eukaryota; Metazoa; Chordata; Mammalia; Rodentia; Muridae
Product: predicted gene, 40361
Exons: 4
Source: RefSeq, a predicted model, not a curated record
CUUUCUGAGAUACUCGACACCACAGUUCACUUGUUUAACUCUAAACCUCAAGAAUGUUUAGCAUCUCAGGAAGAGACCUCACACCAGUUUGGAGUAAUCCCUGCUUCUGCCUCCCUCGGCCCCAGAAACCAAACUACCUCUUGUUUACCCAGGACCUGCUAAGGAGUGUCCCAUCUGACCGUGCAGCUACAGCAUCUAUGCAUACGGCAUACUCAUUCCGUUCAGCCGCUCGUCUGUCUGCUCAUAGCCACUGGUGACCUCUGGCUGUGCUGACUGACACCUUCUGAGCAGAUCUUCCCGAGAGUCAGAAACAGCCCUACUCCUGCUGAGAGGAGUCCCACAUGAAGACCAAGCUACGCAACUAUAGCAUAUGUGCAGAGGGCCUAGGAGAAGAACACCUGCAGAAGACACCCACCCCAGCAGCUCACCUGCCAUGCCCUG